Molecule: ribosomal RNA, 495 nt
Filed under: uncultured bacterium
Lineage: Bacteria
Description: partial 16S ribosomal RNA
Rfam family: Bacterial small subunit ribosomal RNA
Source: RNAcentral
GACGAACGCUGGCGGCGUGCCUAAUACAUGCAAGUAGAACGCUGAAGGAGGAGCUUGCUUCUCUGGAUGAGUUGCGAACGGGUGAGUAACGCGUAGGUAACCUGCCUGGUAGCGGGGGAUAACUAUUGGAAACGAUAGCUAAUACCGCAUAAGAGUAGAUGUCGCAUGACAUUUGCUUAAAAGGUGCAAUUGCAUCACUACCAGAUGGACCUGCGUUGUAUUAGCUAGUUGGUGAGGUAACGGCUCACCAAGGCAACGAUACAUAGCCGACCUGAGAGGGUGAUCGGCCACACUGGGACUGAGACACGGCCCAGACUCCUACGGGAGGCAGCAGUAGGGAAUCUUCGGCAAUGGACGGAAGUCUGACCGAGCAACGCCGCGUGAGUGAAGAAGGUUUUCGGAUCGUAAAGCUCUGUUGUAAGAGAGGAACGAGUGUGAGAGUGGAAAGUUCACACUGUGACGGUAUCUUACCAGAAAGGGACGGCUAACUACGUG